UACAGAGGGUGCAAGCGUUAAUCGGAAUUACUGGGCGUAAAGCGUGCGUAGACGGUUACAUAAGUCGGGUGUGAAAGCCCCGGGCUCAACCUGGGAAUUGCAUUCGAGACUGCGUAGCUAGGGUGCGGAAGAGGGAAGCGGAAUUUCCGGUGUAGCGGUGAAAUGCGUAGAUAUCGGGAGGAACACCGGUGGCGAAGGCGGGUCUCUGGGCAAUUCCUGACGCUGAGGCGCGAAAGCGUGGGGAGCAAACGGG
RNAcentral lists this ribosomal RNA (253 nucleotides) under uncultured bacterium. RNAcentral's name for it is "partial 16S ribosomal RNA". It matches the Rfam family "Bacterial small subunit ribosomal RNA", at positions 524 to 776 of the family's 1533-position model. The record is from RNAcentral.